Molecule: ribosomal RNA, 253 nt
Filed under: uncultured bacterium
Lineage: Bacteria
Description: partial 16S ribosomal RNA
Rfam family: Bacterial small subunit ribosomal RNA
Source: RNAcentral
UACGGAGGGUGCAAGCGUUAUCCGGAUUCACUGGGUUUAAAGGGUGCGUAGGCGGGCAGGUAAGUCAGUGGUGAAAUCCUUGAGCUUAACUCGAGAACUGCCAUUGAUACUAUCUGUCUUGAAUAUUGUGGAGGUAAGCGGAAUAUGUCAUGUAGCGGUGAAAUGCUUAGAUAUGACAUAGAACACCAAUUGCGAAGGCAGCUUACUACACAGUAAUUGACACUGAGGCACGAAAGCGUGGGGAUCAAACAGG